GACGAACGCUGGCGGCGUGCUUAACACAUGCAAGUCGAACGAAGUGGCGAACGGGUGAGUAACGCGUAAUCAACCUGCCCUUCAGAGGGGAACAACAGUUGGAAAAGACUGCUGAUACCGCAUACUGAAGGAGGGGAUUGCGUCGGAUUAGAUAGUUGGGUUGGAAACGGCCCACCAAGGCGAUGAACAGUAGCCGGUGUGAGAGGAUGAACGUCCACAUUGGGACUGAGACACGGCCCAGACUCCUACGGGAGGCAGCAGUGGGGAAGCUUCCGCAAUGGACGAAAGUCUGACGGAGCAACGCCGCGUGAGUGAUGACGGCCUUCGGGUUGUAAAGCUCUGUUAAUCGGGACGCGGUACCGGAAUAGAAAGCCACGGCUAACUACGUGCCAGCAGCCGCGGUAAUAC
Molecule: ribosomal RNA, 408 nt
Filed under: uncultured bacterium
Lineage: Bacteria
Description: partial 16S ribosomal RNA
Rfam family: Bacterial small subunit ribosomal RNA
Source: RNAcentral